CGUAGCCCACAAGUGAUCAUUUACCGACAUACAACAAAAUGACGCGUCGCGUGCUGUCACAAGAGGCCCAAAAUAUCACUUUUGAGACGAGUGAAGAGGUGGACGUAACCCCAACAUUUGACUCACUUUCCCUCAGAGAAGACCUCAUUCGAGGAAUUUAUGCAUAUGGAUUUGAAAAACCAUCUGCAAUCCAGCAAAGAGCCAUCAAACCAGUUGUAAAAGGCAGGGAUGUCAUUGCACAGGCUCAAUCUGGUACAGGAAAGACUGCCACCUUUUCUAUUUCCAUUCUACAAUGUCUAGACACACAGCUCAGAGAAACGCAAGCGUUGGUGCUGUCUCCAACAAGAGAAUUGGCCACACAAAUUCAAAAGGUUAUCCUAGCAUUAGGUGACUAUAUGAGCGUCCAGUGUCAUUCCUGUAUUGGUGGGACUAAUGUUGGAGAGGAUAUUAGAAAACUUGACUUUGGUCAACACGUAGUCUCGGGGACACCCGGCAGAGUGUUUGACAUGAUCAGGAGAAGAAAUUUGAGGACGAGAGCCAUCAAAAUGCUGGUCUUAGACGAAGCAGAUGAAAUGCUGAACAAAGGCUUCAAGGAACAGAUCUAUGAUGUGUACAGGUACCUUCCUCCUGCAACCCAGGUAGUACUCUUCAGUGCCACAUUACCACACGAGAUCUUAGAAAUGACCAACAAAUUCAUGACAGAUCCUAUCAGAAUCCUUGUCAAACGUGAUGAAUUGACCUUGGAGGGUAUCAAGCAGUUCUUUGUUGCCGUGGAGAGGGAAGAAUGGAAGUUUGACACAUUAUGUGAUCUCUACGAUACACUCACCAUCACACAGGCUGUCAUCUUCUGCAACACGAAGAGGAAGGUUGACUGGUUGACCGAGAAGAUGCGGGAAGCGAAUUUCACGGUGUCGUCCAUGCAUGGCGACAUGCCUCAGAAAGAGAGAGAAGCCAUCAUGAAGGAAUUCAGAUCAGGGGCGAGUCGUGUCCUUAUCACUACCGACGUAUGGGCCAGAGGUUUGGAUGUUCAGCAAGUCUCCUUGGUUAUCAACUAUGAUCUGCCAAACAACCGUGAACUCUACAUCCAUAGGAUUGGUCGUUCAGGUCGUUACGGACGUAAAGGUGUUGCUAUCAACUUUGUGAAGAGUGAUGACAUCAGGAUUCUGCGUGACAUAGAGCAGUAUUACAGCACACAGAUUGAUGAAAUGCCCAUGAAUGUUGCUGAUCUCAUUUAGACUGGAAAAGAGCUACAAAGAUGAUUUACCUUCACCUUCAUGAUUCAAUGUGUCAUCAGUAGUCCAUGCACCCAUCCCAUGAAUCUCUAUUAUAUUCACUGUGCUAUCGGUGGCAACUACCAUGGUAACGGGGCUCAGCAGCCAAUCAGAAUCAAGGUUGCCAUGGUAGUCACCAUGAUAGCAAAGUUAAAUAUAAGAGUAAGUUUUCAUGCAACAGGACCCAGGCUAGUUCCACACAGGUGGUGCCCACUGCAAAGUUGAUCAUUGAAGCAAAAGAAUUGUCCUCUUUGAUUGUCUCAUAAUUCAAUUACAUUCAAUUCAUUCUGUUCUUGUCUCCUCCGAAAAUAUUUCUGUCAUUAUUAUUGGCACAGUCCUAUCAGUGAAACCGGCUCCAAACAGACGGUCUGAUGAUAGGUCAUUGGAAGUAAUGUUAUCGCUUUGGUCGGGCUGGGGUCGGUUUUUGCCAGUCUAUCUGUGGCGUAACGUUUGCAUUAUUCUGUCAUAACUCUCUGAGUUCUUUGUUGACCUAUAACCUAUAUCAGUGGUCUUGCUGUAUGUGACAUUCUGUCACAUUUAGAUCAUAUUCAAUAAUUUAGUAUUCCACACAUAAAAAUGAGUAUUUCAUCUGCUCAAGGCCAGCAACAUUGGGAAUAAUGUUGCUCGGCAGACAGCAUUUCUUGUGUUUGAAAGUUAGGAAAAUAAAGGAAGAGAUACAAAGUUAGAGGUCUAUUCAAUUUCUAUUUCAAUCUGUCAUUGGUAGAUUUGCAUGUGAUGGAGAAUAGCACUAUUUAAUGUUCAGUCCAUUUAAGUCACAGAACUAACAUUUUGCUCUGUAUACCAUGUAGGUCAAUUAAUAGAUGAAAACUGUACAGUGUUGUAUAUAUAUUUUUACUAUUUUAUCUGUGGUUGAAGAUGUAAUAAGUUCUCUUGUUUCAAGAAGUUCGUCAUUGAAAGGUAACAUAUUUCCCAGGUAAAUCUAAACUAAACAUUUCUAAAAAAUUAUCUUUGUCAACUUUUUUUUAUUUUGAGUGACCCUACAUACUUUUCUGAUUCAGAAAUUUUCAGAAACAUUUUCAGAAACAAGAUAGUCAGUGAAAAAUAGUUAUAUAUGCUAUUUGUAUAUUUUAAAGCAUAGAAAUUAUGAUUUGUUUAUCUUUAGCAAUGAAUGGGUGUUUUGCUGACAGUAUACAAUCUCAUUAGAAGGUUAACUUAAUAUACCACUUCUAAUUUUACAUAAAGGAAAGCCACAUCUAAAACAAUCCUAGGGAGAAGUUUCUGUGCUAUUUUCAAAUUGCAUAGCGGGAGGGAGGGGGUAAAAGUUACCCCCUUUUUUCUGACUCGGUGUCUAAAAUCUUACAAUGGAGAUUACAUACUCAAAUGUCUUAUUGUUCCUGAUCUGUUUGAAUCUAACCCUUUUAUUAGACCCAGAAAAAGAGAUAUCUGUAAUACACAUCUUAGCAUUGUGUCAAUCAGAAAGUGUAGGGUGGGAUGUAUUCAGUUUACAUAGAUGUUUAAAAAAAUAUAGUUAAAAUAGUUGUGUAACAAUCAUUAUAUUGCUGCUGUUGCAAUGAAAGGUUUCAUGAGAUUAUGGAUUUGAUCAAUAUUUUGAAUACCCCCUGUCAGUAGAUUUUUUUUCUUUUGUACAAUAAAAUGAUUUAAAAAGUA
This 2900-nucleotide unclassified non-coding RNA is filed under the name Lytechinus variegatus (green sea urchin). RNAcentral describes it as "eukaryotic initiation factor 4A-III, transcript variant X1". Lineage: Eukaryota; Metazoa; Echinodermata; Echinoidea; Temnopleuroida; Toxopneustidae. The record is from RNAcentral.